GAUGACGCUGGCGGCGUGCCUCAAACAUGCAAGUCGAGCGAGGCUAUGAGUUACCGCAAGGUAAGGCAUAGCCUAGCGGCGAACGGGUGAGUAACACGUGGGUAACCUACCUGGAAGACAGGGAUAACGAUUCGAAAGGGUCGCUAAUACCUGAUAAUAUCCAUCUGCCGGAUGGCGGAGGGAAGAAAGGGGAAACCCGCUUUCAGAUGGGCCCGCGUCCCAUCAGCUAGUUGGUAAGGUAAAGGCUUACCAAGGCGACGACGGGUAGCCGGUCUGAGAGGAUGUACGGCCACACUGGGACUGAGAUACGGCCCAGACUCCUACGGGAGGCAGCAGUUGGGAAUCUUAGGCAAUGGACGAAAGUCUGACCUAGCGACGCCGCGUGAGGGAAGAAGGCCUUCGGGUUGUAAACCUCUGUCAUGGGGGAAGAAGGAAGUGACGGUACCCCAAGAGGAAGCCCCUGCUAACUACGUG
This 474-nucleotide ribosomal RNA is filed under the name uncultured bacterium. RNAcentral's name for it is "bacterial SSU rRNA". It matches the Rfam family "Bacterial small subunit ribosomal RNA", at positions 33 to 507 of the family's 1533-position model. The record is from RNAcentral.